CCUACGGGUGGCAGCAGUGAGGAAUAUUGGUCAAUGGACGAGAGUCUGAACCAGCCAAGUAGCGUGAAGGAUGACUGCCCUAUGGGUUGUAAACUUCUUUUAUAUGGGAAUAAAACGUUCCACGUGUGGGAUUUUGUAUGUACCAUAUGAAUAAGGAUCGGCUAACUCCGUGCCAGCAGCCGCGGUAAUACGGAGGAUCCGAGCGUUGUCCGGAUUUAUUGGGUUUAAAGGGAGCGUAGGUGGAUUGUUAAGUCAGUUGUGAAAGUUUGCGGCUCAACCGUAAAAUUGCAGUUGAAACUGGCAGUCUUGAGUACAGUAGAGGUGGGCGGAAUUCGUGGUGUAGCGGUGAAAUGCUUAGAUAUCACGAAGAACUCCGAUUGCGAAGGCAGUUCACUGGACUGCAACGGACACUGAGGCUCGAAAGUGUGGGUAUCAAACAGGAUUAGAUACCCCAGUAGUC
RNAcentral lists this ribosomal RNA (460 nucleotides) under uncultured bacterium. Its description in RNAcentral is "partial 16S ribosomal RNA". It matches the Rfam family "Bacterial small subunit ribosomal RNA", at positions 338 to 795 of the family's 1533-position model. The record is from RNAcentral.